UGAGUGGGGCUCCCGGGACGG
Molecule: microRNA, 21 nt
Filed under: Callithrix jacchus (white-tufted-ear marmoset)
Lineage: Eukaryota; Metazoa; Chordata; Mammalia; Primates; Cebidae
Description: cja-miR-4745
Source: miRBase by way of RNAcentral